AACGAACGCUGGCGGCAGGCUUAACACAUGCAAGUCGAACGACCGGAGCAAUCCGGGAGUGGCGAACGGGUGAGUAACACGUGGGAACCUGCCCAGCGGUGGGGAACAACCGAGGGAAACUUCGGCUAAUACCGCAUACGCCCUUACGGGGAAAGAUUUAUCGCCGUUGGAGGGGCCCGCGUCCGAUUAGCUAGUUGGUGAGGUAACGGCUCACCAAGGCGACGAUCGGUAACUGGUCUGAGAGGACGACCAGUCACACUGGGACUGAGACACGGCCCAGACUCCUACGGGAGGCAGCAGUAGGGAAUAUUGGACAAUGGGGGAAACCCUGAUCCAGCAAUGCCGCGUGAGUGAUGAAGGCCUUAGGGUUGUAAAGCUCUUUCGCCCACGACGAUGAUGACGGUAGUGGGAGAAGAAGCCCCGGCUAACUUCGUGCCAGCCGCCGCCGUAA
RNAcentral lists this ribosomal RNA (451 nucleotides) under uncultured bacterium. Its description in RNAcentral is "partial 16S ribosomal RNA". It matches the Rfam family "Bacterial small subunit ribosomal RNA", at positions 29 to 523 of the family's 1533-position model. The record is from RNAcentral.